GGUGGUGCACGCGUGCCCCGAGUCGUGCCGCUGCAGGGACGCGCACGCGGACUGCGCUGCUGCUGCUGCCGCGGGGCUGCCGCUCUCAGUGAUGAAGCUCAUGCAGCAGCUCCCGGCGGGGACAGAGCACGUAGAUUUGAGCAACAAUCAACUGGAGGACAUUGAUGCCAGCGCUAUGAUGAGCCGCCUGCUAAACCUGAAGGAAGUGAAAGUGGCUCACAAUGAACUCACAGAAAUAGCAAGCUUUGGAAAAUCGUCUGAAAACAUCACCGUCUUAUCAUUGUAAGUAAAGAUAAGGUUUCGGAAUGUAAUUAAACAGUACAAACUUGCAGAAUGGAAUUUAAUGCAGUAACAGCAUUUGCAACUGUAUCCCAUUUUUAAGCCAUGGAU
Molecule: long non-coding RNA, 390 nt
Organism: Lethenteron reissneri (Far Eastern brook lamprey)
Lineage: Eukaryota; Metazoa; Chordata; Hyperoartia; Petromyzontiformes; Petromyzontidae
Source: RefSeq, a predicted model, not a curated record